UUUUUAGCUCACCUGGCCAGAAGGGCCAAGUGAGCUUUUCUCAUCACUUUGCGUCCGUCGUUAGCUUUUACAAAAAUCUUCUCUGAAACUACUGGGCCAAAUUAAACCAAACUUGGCCACAAUCAUCAUUGGGGUAUCUAGUUUAAAAAAUGUGUGGUGUGACCUGGCCAACAACCAAGAUGGCCGCAUGGCUAAAAAUAGAACAUAGGGGUAAAAUGUAGAUUUUGGCUUAUAACUCUGAAAUCAAAGCAUUUAGAGCAAAUCUGACA
RNAcentral lists this long non-coding RNA (269 nucleotides) under Mytilus galloprovincialis (Mediterranean mussel). The record is from RNAcentral. Lineage: Eukaryota; Metazoa; Mollusca; Bivalvia; Mytilida; Mytilidae.